Molecule: long non-coding RNA, 1473 nt
Organism: Astatotilapia calliptera (eastern happy)
Lineage: Eukaryota; Metazoa; Chordata; Actinopteri; Cichliformes; Cichlidae
Source: Ensembl
GCAUUAGCACAUUGGUUUAUUGAGUUUAUGGGUCACCUCAGACGUUGACAGUCACUGAAAUGAAAAUGAAAUUAAACAAAAUAAAAGCUAAUAAAAUGUUAAAACCUACAUCACCUCUGUGUGUCUAUUAGCUUUCAUGGUAUAGGCAUAUUAAAAUGCGUCACACUGAUCUGAAUCUUUGCGACAGCCAAUCAAAUCUGACCCAGACUGAAUCAACGCCAUUUUGAACAGAAUUACGCAACUCUCUUGGCACGUAUUUGGCCUCUUAAGUGUUGAGAGGUUACGGGUAACAGUCACAGGCAGGGUGAGCAGUGGUUAAAGCUUAUUGUAGCAUUGGCGCUUGGAAAAUAGGACAGUGGAGAAUUCUGACGUGUUCUGGUGCAUCGAAGCGCUGCCAACAUGCAACACCGCGACCUAAGCGAACAAAAAGAGUGGGUGUUUGUGACUUGACUCAUACGCUGUGUCAAUGUACAAAGCCCUUUAACAUCAAAAUGUUGACAUUAAAUCAAAGACUGGUGGGUUGUCUGGUGAAAUACAUUUAGAUAUUCAUGUACUUUCUCCACCACAGGUAAAGCAGCAACACCUGAGCAGACUCAGGCCUUCUGGCAAAAAGAUUUGGGCCUUAAAAUGGGUGAAAAUUGACAAUUUCUUAAUAAAAUCCUAAAAACAAACAAACACAUGACCAGAAAAAAAAGCCUACAACACAAAACUACCAAAGAACAAUUCCAGAAAAACAGCAACCAACUGAUAAACAAAACCCAGCAGUAACAAUGUAAGUAUUUACUGCUAAACACCAAACAAAGAGCUAAAGAGCUGUGGACGAUGAAUAAACAACAAUGCUGAAACACACAAAAAACAAACCACCUAAAUGACCAAAAAAGAGGGACAAAACUAAUACACAGAGCUAAUUAUACACCCAAAACUUAAAAGAACAAACAAACAAACAAACAAAAAAGAUGAAGUGAAAGAAUAAGAAAGCGCUGAAAACCAACGACCUUUACUCUACAACCAAUAGAAAUGACAUAAAUCUUACCCCAAAAAACAAAUAAACAGUGCUAAACUGCUACACAACAGGUAAUAGUGCCAAAGAACUACACAAAAAACAAUACACAGUGCUAAAAACUGCAGAGAAUAAAAAUGCCACAAAAAAAAUUAAACCACAGAAAAAAAUCCAAAACAACCAGUGACGAGUGACGAGAACAAUCCUGAAAAAUUCCCCAAAACUGACAUUAGGGCUGAAAAAAAAAAAGCCCUGUGGUUGGAUCUUAUUUCAAAGCUCUUUACGACACACUGCAAGCUGCAGGUCUACUAAUUUGACAUACUUUACAUGAAAUCAAAAUUUCGUUUCAUAACUGACUUUUUUUAUGAGAUUAGAUUAAAUAUAAAAUGAUGGCCUCUUAUUCUCAGGGUGACACAGCCACUUUAAUUGGUGCAACAUGUGCAGAGACCGCACACAGACCUUGCAGACCUACU